RNAcentral lists this ribosomal RNA (548 nucleotides) under aff. Phoma sp. RNAcentral's name for it is "eukaryotic LSU rRNA". The stretch from base 194 to 347 matches the Rfam family "5.8S ribosomal RNA". The record is from RNAcentral. Lineage: Eukaryota; Fungi; Ascomycota; Dothideomycetes; Pleosporales; Didymellaceae.
AAGUAAAAGUCGUAACAAGGUUUCCGUAGGUGAACCUGCGGAAGGAUCAUUACCUAGAGUUGCGGGCUUUGCCUGCCAUCUCUUACCCAUGUCUUUUGAGUACCUUACGUUUCCUCGGCGGGUCCGCCCGCCGAUUGGACAAUUUAAACCAUUUGCAGUUGCAAUCAGCGUCUGAAAAAAACUUAAUAGUUACAACUUUCAACAACGGAUCUCUUGGUUCUGGCAUCGAUGAAGAACGCAGCGAAAUGCGAUAAGUAGUGUGAAUUGCAGAAUUCAGUGAAUCAUCGAAUCUUUGAACGCACAUUGCGCCCCUUGGUAUUCCAUGGGGCAUGCCUGUUCGAGCGUCAUUUGUACCUUCAAGCUCUGCUUGGUGUUGGGUGUUUGUCUCGCCUCCGCGCGCAGACUCGCCUCAAAACAAUUGGCAGCCGGCGUAUUGAUUUCGGAGCGCAGUACAUCUCGCGCUUUGCACUCACAACGACGACGUCCAAAAGUACAUUUUUUACACUCUUGACCUCGGAUCAGGUAGGGAUACCCGCUGAACUUAAGCA